Chelydra serpentina (North American snapping turtle) is the source of this 64-nucleotide small nucleolar RNA. Lineage: Eukaryota; Metazoa; Chordata; Testudines; Chelydridae. The record is from Ensembl.
GCACAAAUGAUGGGAACACAAUGGUACGAGAAAAGCAAUGAUACUGUAAAUGCUUUCUGAUGCA